UACAGAGGGGGCAAGCGUUGUUCGGAAUUACUGGGCGUAAAGGGCGCGUAGGCGGCCGCCUAAGUCAGACGUGAAAUCCCUCGGCCCAACCGGGGAACUGCGUCUGAUACUGGGUGGCUUGAAUUCGGGAGAGGGAUGCGGAAUUCCAGGUGUAGCGGUGAAAUGCGUAGAUAUCUGGAGGAACACCGGUGGCGAAGGCGGCAUCCUGGACUGGUCCUGACACUCAGGAGCGAAAGCGUGGGGAGCGAUCCGG
This 253-nucleotide ribosomal RNA is filed under the name uncultured bacterium. Its description in RNAcentral is "partial 16S ribosomal RNA". It matches the Rfam family "Bacterial small subunit ribosomal RNA", at positions 524 to 776 of the family's 1533-position model. The record is from RNAcentral.